This 253-nucleotide ribosomal RNA is filed under the name uncultured bacterium. Its description in RNAcentral is "partial 16S ribosomal RNA". It matches the Rfam family "Bacterial small subunit ribosomal RNA", at positions 524 to 776 of the family's 1533-position model. The record is from RNAcentral.
UACAGAGGUCUCGAGCGUUAGGCGGAAUCACUGGGCUUAAAGCGUGUGUAGGCGGAUCGGUAAGUCCCUUGUGAAAUCCCACAGCUUAACUGUGGAACUGCUUGGUAUACUGCCAGUCUUGAGCCAGCUAGGGGCUACCGGAACAAAUGGUGGAGCGGUGAAAUGCGUAGAUAUCAUUUGGAACGCCAAUGGUGAAAACAGGUGGCUGGGGCUGUGCUGACGCUGAGACACGAAAGCCAGGGGAGCAAACGGG